GUGUAUUAAUGCCUUUUAAUUACUCAUAAUCAUUUUUCAAAAUCUUUCAAUUAUUUUUAUAUUUUAUCACUAUUAAAUUAAUGGAAAUAUCACCCAUUCUCUAUAAUUGUUUUCCAGAAAUUUCCUCUGAAAUACUUCUAGAUGAAGAGGUGCAGAAAGUUUGCUAGGAACCACAAGACAAAAUUUGCUAGAGACUCCUACUUAAAAAGGGUUUUGUAUCUGGCUUAGUUUGUUGUAAUUUGCAAGAUUCAAAAGCAUUAAUUUGAAUAGACAGAACACCAAGACUCCCAGCACACAAAGAGCAGUUAUUUUGUUAAUAUGCACGAAUAAACUUCAGCAUAUUUUCUUUUACCUGAAAUUUAUAGAUACUGGUUUGAAUCUCUGAUUCCUUCUACAUAGUAUUUGUAAACGUCUGCAAGAUAUUUCCUUACACUGAUGGCUCAUAAUAUAGGUGUGUAUUCUUCUCUUACUCUUUCAUGAGUAAAUACCAAAAUUGCUUCUUCAGUUUACAAAAAAAGUCACUCCGAAAAUUUGUGCAUACAACUCCACACAGCAAAUGUUUUCCGAUUAUAGUCUGUAGAAAAGAAGCGGGAACUUAAAUUUAUUUUCUUUUAUCAGAUAAUAAUCUUUUAAAAAUGAUUUAUACUUUUAUAGAUUACCAGAGAAUUUUCAGAGUUGCUUUUUGUCCAGUACAUGUGUGGGGCUCAGAGACACCACAGAUAAAGUUGCCAUGUUCUGUGAUGCUUGCGUCCAAUAGGGUUUCAGAAAACUUGACAAAAAUUAAACUUUAAGGUGGAAGAGCUGCCCUUGGGAACUGAGAGGAUAGGUUUCAGGCCUGGGAUGGGACGGACAAGGGAAGCCUCCAGGAGAGGAACAUUGGAGGAGAUGCUGGAGAGUGAGGGGCAGUGGGUCCAGGAGACGGGAGGGAAAGGGAGGAGGAAAACGUGUGUGCCCGGCACAGGCCAGGCCAUGAGAAGAGGGCGGUGCAUUAGAAGGGCCGCUGGGAUGAGUAACUGGUGAGGACGCAGGAGCACGAAGGGCAGACCACGGAGGGACUGGGCAGGGGAGGCAGGGAGGGCCGCUCCCCGAGGACUGCACUCUGCGGGGAGGGAUUCGAAUGUCUGGGUUUGGUUCCCUGAGAUGUUACCCCAGCCCAUGAGCUCAGCCUGUGCGGGGGACGCUGAGGAGUGAGCGGGCCCUGUCCCCCGAGGAGGCUGCUGGGCUCGGCCAGGGGGCGUGGGUUUGGGAGAAACGAUGGUGGAGAAAGGCAAAGAGGACCUCGGAGGCCUGACUGCAGGGCUUAUGGAGCUGUCCUUGUUCGCUGCCUUUUCUCCGUCGUUCAGACCCUCACUGCCCCGCCAGUGCAGGUUUCUGUCCCCUCAGUCCUUUUGCAGGAGUAGGUGGAAUCCAUGGACCAGAAACUCAGACCGUUGGUUCCUCGCCACCUGGCGCCCACGCAGGGUCGCUUCUCCCGGAAGGCGCGCUUGUUCCUGCGGCGCUGCCUGCCUGUGUCGUCGUCCCUUCUUCAAACCUCAGGAUUUCUCCGUGUUUCCCAGACCGUAAGGUACAUUUAAACUGCUUUCAUUUUGUCACAAACGCCCUUUUAUAUUAUGGACGUAACACUUAUUACUUCUUACGUUUCCUAUUUGUGAAUUAUUCAUAGGUAAAGAAUUUACGGAAGCAUUUAUUUUUAGUUGACAUAUUGCGUAUAUUUAUGGAUAACAGGGUGAUACUUUGAUUCUUGUAUUCAUUGGGGAAGAUUCGGUCAAGCUAAUUCACAGGUGCAUCAAAUCACCAGCUAACUAAUACUUCAUGGCGAGACCACUAAACACCUGUUAUUUCGCUUUUCUAAAAUGUACGGCAUGACUUCGGAGCAAACGGUACUGCCCGGUCUCAGUAGCCCGAGACUGAGCAUUUCUGAAGCGCGGGGCCCCCGUUUCUGAGAGGGUCGUGGCUGCAUGCAGGUAAGCAAGGAAGAGUGUUUGGGGUGCUUUGUGUGCCCUGUUCAUUUUGGGUGCUUCUGUGUUCUGAGAACUAUGGGUUUGAAUAUGUGUUUGAAAAAUUCAGGUGCUUUAACUUUUCCUUUGUUUUACUCUGUUAACAACGUUAUAACUUUUCUUUUACUGACUUUAGAUUUAAUAUAUUCUUCUUUUUCUAGGUUCCAAAGGUGGAAACACAGAUGACAGAUUUCUGGUCUUUUCAUCGUUUCCUAUGUUUGGAAUAGUUCACCAGUGAGUCAUCUCAACAAGCACAGGGCCUUCCUCCUAGACACAA
Cercocebus atys (sooty mangabey) is the source of this 2274-nucleotide long non-coding RNA. RefSeq lists it as uncharacterized. The record is from RefSeq and is a predicted model, not a curated record. Lineage: Eukaryota; Metazoa; Chordata; Mammalia; Primates; Cercopithecidae. The transcript has 3 exons.